AAUAACAAUUCACGCCUCCUCUGUUUCUCUCUCACACUCAGUCACUUGGUUCUCUCUCCUUCAUGCUCUCUCCCUCUCUCUCUCUCUAUCACACACAAUCUCUCGGGUUUCUCUCAUUCAUACCGGUACUCUGUAUUCCUUCCCAUUGAGCCGCUGAAGCACACCAUGGCGACACCGAUGCUGAAACACACCACGACCUCUCUAUCACACAGUCCCUCGUCGUGGUGUGGUAGCCGCUGAGCCACCGAAGGACCAGGCGUGCUAGCCGCUGAACUAUUGAAGAGCCAGGCAACGUAUUGAGCUGCUAAAGAACUAGGCAGUCACUGAAGAACCAGGCGACGCUCUACACCAAUCUGCCAACCUUCAUUUGUCUCCGAGAAUUACAGGGAUUUGACUGGCACUUCUUGGUCGCUCAUAAACUUCAUCAGCUUUUACUUAAUUACUUUCUUGUUGCUACUGAAUUUGAGGGGGAUGACAGCGGAACAGAUGUGAGAUAAAACUAUAAUGGUGACAUAACACACAACAAUAAUUCAGUAUGUCAUUUCUAAAUUCAUGUUCUGUUUUAGUGCCUAUUACCGGUAUUGCUUUUAAUCUCUAUGUUUUGUAUUUGUUUAUUUGCUUAUGUGUCUAACUGAAGCAGUAUAUUGGUUUGAGAGAUUGUGUACUCCUAUUAUAUUGGUUUGAGAGAUUUUGUACUCUUGUCAUAUUGGUUUGAGAGAUUUUGGGGUAUUUUAUAUCUGUUCUCAGUUGUAAUUUCUCAGAUUUGGUAUAAAUUAAAAAAAUAAAAAGUUUUAUUAAAAAAAAUGAUUUGAUUUGGGUUCAGGGUGUGGCUCUAUCUUCCUAAAGAAAACCCAUAGAUUGUCCUUAUUUUGUCAUUAAUAUCAAGUUUUUUUUUUCUAUUCUAGUGUAAGAGUAUUUUAUUUUUAUAUUUUUGCUCUGCUAUGAGCAGGGGAUGCAGUUCUUAGUUUAUCAUUAAUGGUGUUAUGUGUUCUUGUUUUGUUUGAUUCAGAGAUGGAAUAGUUAUAAAUCGAUGGGUCCCAUUUACAGUUGCAUGAAGCAACAAUUAUAAAAAACAAGAGUAUCAAUGAAAAACAUGAUAA
Long non-coding RNA from Humulus lupulus (European hop), 1100 nucleotides. RefSeq lists it as uncharacterized. The transcript is spliced from 3 exons. The record is from RefSeq and is a predicted model, not a curated record. NCBI's taxonomy places the organism in Eukaryota, Viridiplantae, Streptophyta, Magnoliopsida, Rosales, Cannabaceae.